This 257-nucleotide unclassified non-coding RNA is filed under the name Hevea brasiliensis (rubber tree). The record is from RNAcentral. Lineage: Eukaryota; Viridiplantae; Streptophyta; Magnoliopsida; Malpighiales; Euphorbiaceae.
GAAGAACAGAAACUAAGACAGAAUAAACCCCUAGAGCUCAGCUUGUAGUUUCAGGAAUAUGAAACAAGAACCCACUAAGGGUUUGCGUGUUGAAACAUGCCUAAUCCGCACGAGAUUGGCCAGCGCGGGAUGACAGGAUGAUGCCGACGAUGAGCCCAUAGAGAGCAAGCGCUUCGGCAAAAAUGAGGAUGAGGAUCAUACCCACGAACAGCUUUGGUUGCUGGGCGUUCGCCCUGACUCCGGCGUCACCAACGAUG